Molecule: ribosomal RNA, 253 nt
Filed under: uncultured bacterium
Lineage: Bacteria
Description: partial 16S ribosomal RNA
Rfam family: Bacterial small subunit ribosomal RNA
Source: RNAcentral
UACGUAGGGUGCGAGCGUUAAUCGGAAUUACUGGGCGUAAAGGGUGCGCAGGCGGUCCUGCAAGUCAGGCGUGAAAUCCCCGGGCUUAACCUGGAAAUGGCACUUGAAACUACGGGACUGGAGUAUGGCAGAGGGAGGUGGAAUUCCACGUGUAGCGGUGAAAUGCGUAGAGAUGUGGAGGAACACCGAUGGCGAAGGCAGCCUCCUGGGCCAAUACUGACGCUCAUGCACGAAAGCGUGGGGAGCAAACAGG